Long non-coding RNA from Cuculus canorus (common cuckoo), 3231 nucleotides. RefSeq lists it as uncharacterized. The transcript has 4 exons. The record is from RefSeq and is a predicted model, not a curated record. NCBI's taxonomy places the organism in Eukaryota, Metazoa, Chordata, Aves, Cuculiformes, Cuculidae.
UUAAAGCCUGAGCCCGGUGCUUGAGCUCUGGCCCUCCUGGAUCGCUGCCCGGAGCUCAACCCAGUGUCCUGGCCCUCUGCACCGUGGACACGAAGCAAAGCCAGCACUGGAGUGCUCAGCAAGAUAGUCCUCUGGAUGCUGUAUUUUCCUCUCAAGUCAGCAGCUUCCUUUCAGCCCAUACGUCGGCGAGAGGUGUGGAGGACGCCCGCCCGCCGCGGUCCCUUGCACGGGGAGCCUGGAGGCUCACGGGGAACCUGAGCUCCCACCCAGACAGCCUUUGUCAAAAUGAACCUCAGCAAGAAGGGGUUUUCCUUCCUUAAAAAAUAUUGCAAACAGAAGAUUCCCAUGUUUGAAAGGUCAGAGGAAAAAAUAUAAUGCACUCAUGAAGAGACAACCUCAUUAAUCCUGUUGUUCUUGGCCCAGUCAGUAGAAGAAACAUAAAUGCUGUCAACACUGUGCUGCUAGAUAAAGGAUAAAAAGUGGGAAUGAAAUGUUUUACUGCAAGGACUGUUCUUAUGGUUUGAGAACAUUUCUGGAAAUAACCUGAGCUGAGAAAAUGUUCCCUAGGAGGAAUACAUGCUGUGGGAAACUGUGUGGAAGAUAAAGUUUGGUCAGUGACCUUCUCACUAUCCUCUAAUCACGCAGCACACACUGCUCCAAAGAGAAAAAAGAAAAAGGGAUACUGUGCAGCAAGAGACACUUUACCUUCCCUGCAUUACAUGAACUGGAGUGGAAAACACAAGAGUAUCAUAAAUCUCUAUUUCAUGCUUUCGGAUACUGUAGUGAAAUAAUAAUCUUCUGUAACUCGCAGGGGGAAAAAAAUGUGACUUUUGGUUUAGGGCACUUUAAUAGCACAAAAUGCAAUACACCUUCAGUGAGCAUAAAAACAAAUGACUAGAAGUUGCUAAAAGGGGAACGUGCCUUUUCGUCUGUGCAACAUUAGAAACGGAGAAAGAUCAUCACAUUUCUCAUCCGAACCCUGGAAUGACAGAGAGGAGGAAGACGCAAGGCUACCUCUGCAGUGCAGGCGCUUCCCAGAGAUGAUCCAUCACAGAAAACCUCAGUUUAAAUACUUGCAUGGUAAUGCAGCAGCACCGCUCAGACACUGUAUCUGUGCAGAAACUACCAGAAGUCUGACAAGAAAGCCUGAUCUCCAGCCAGAUUUCUUGAAAUGUUAAUAAGAGUUCCUUAUUCAAAAAGCACCUUCAAAACUUCUUAACUAUCAGGAAGAGAACCUCAGAUGUCUCAUUACCUACCACAAUAUUCCUGGAAAAAGACCAAGAAGUGCCCUACAGAAUUCUCCUGCUACGGUCCUAGUAUUUUUGUCUGGCUCAAGUUCAGAAGGUUCUAUAGCUUUGCUGAAUAUUUCCAAAGGCCUCUUGCCUGUACCUUCGUGCAACAACAAUCAUAUUUGGCCUUGAAAUUACCACUUAAAAGACAAGAGAAACCAUUUGCUUGUCUGUCCUUUUAUGGUGUAAUGAAGCAGGUGGAUUUCUACUGAGCUCUUUGCCUGUGACUUCUCCAGAAGGAAUGCAGCCUGCUCCCAGCCCCACAAUGACUGGAAGGCCCAUAUUCAAAGGUCCUGGGACCGACUUUUUUUUCCACACUUACUCAUUCUGCCAGAGUGUAUAGAAACCCAGAAGAAGUAAAAAAAGCAAAACCCUAAAUCUGAGACCCUCUUAAUAAAUUGAAUAAACAAGCUAUUUGCUAACAUUUGGACUUUGGGUCUACUAUCUCUUUUUGUGAAGACUAUUUUCUCAAUCAAGGAAACUUCUAAUCUCUUUGUCCAUGUCAUACAAGGAGAGGAUGGACCUCUGACCUUUGUUUUCCUCUCUACUUAAUCCCAUUAUUUAUUCUCUUUUGCUCCUUAACUGGUACAGUUCAUAUGCUUUGAUAUGUUUUAAAUUUCCACAUAUUUCUGUAUUCGAUUUUUUGGACAACACUCCUGAAGAAAUGAAGCUUACACAUUGGCUCUAUCUGCCAGACUUUUUCUUCCUUAACUAUUUCCAAAUUCAUUGGCUUAUUCCAAUCUGAUUCAAUAGAGAGGUAAGAACCCUAAAGAUAAUUAAAUUCCUGUAAGUUCUGCAAACAUUGGCACCUGAAGACAGGCAGGGUCUUGAAAGAGGGCAUCUCUGCUGCAGGAAAAGCUGCAACAUGAGGCUCUACAGUAACAUUUCUGCUGACUUGGCAUUGGCCAAGAGGCACACAUGGGUCUGUAGAGCUCCGAGUCUCUCCUGUAAGCAGAAGGUCAGGGGAAACUGAGGCAGAGUCUGUAGGCUGUACAGUACAUAUGUCUGUAUGGGUACAUACUUGUGCUCGACAACUACACGAUAUCCUCUGUUGGCUAUGGGGCAGGGCUGGGAGUCGGGAGACAGACUUCCAUCUGUUAGUAAAAGGUUGUGGGACUGCAGAAAGUUUUCUCUUUUUUCUCCCACUCUGUCCUUUUUUUCCUCUCCCACACUUUGCUUUUUUUAUUAGUUUGAGCUAAAAGUCCUUGGGCGGAAAGGCCUUUUUUUCACCAGAUGUUUGCAUGAGCCUAACACAUUGGGAGCCCUUUCCUAGUCGAAGACCAGAUGGCCUAUUGCAAAGUAGAUAAUAACAAGACUCCAGUAAAUACUGAUGUUCUUAUAUCUAUGUGACAACAUCACCUUUGAAAUGGGAAUACUCAUCUGUAUAUGUGAUAAGAAUACAUUUUUACUUGUAUAUUUAGCUGUAUUAACCCCACUAUAAUAAAAGCAUACAAUUUUAAAAGCGUGUCCAUUAAAAUUAACGGACAAGCUGACAGAGAUCAAACUUAUUUUCUACAAAGAGAUUUAGAAUCUUAAGGCAUCUGACAUUCUGCCAUGCCUGUCUUGUUUCUGUUCCACUGUGUUCUACUGUGCUGCGUGCUCUACUCAGCCCGUUAAAGCACUCUCUCUUCCCCUGCUCAAAGACAAAGGUUGGACCUCUCAUGAACAUUGUCUACCGCCCACAAGUCAGGCUCCAGACCCAUCUAUAAAUUUCAUUUGCCUCUUGAAGAGAAGAAAUUUUCCUUGACGAAGGUGAUUAUCAGGUAUUAAAGGCUAAUCUUGUAAUAAAUUUGUGAAUUAGUAAGCUUAUUUCUUAACUAGUCAAAAGCAAAUCCCUCUUGCUCAUACCUUGUUAUGCUAGCAUCGCACGCUAUCGUAUCACUGGUAUUUAAUAGUUUCCCAGGGAAAAAAAAAAUCACAGGCAGAGAUAUUCACUCACUGA